Molecule: long non-coding RNA, 11970 nt
Filed under: Homo sapiens (human)
Lineage: Eukaryota; Metazoa; Chordata; Mammalia; Primates; Hominidae
Description: non-protein coding CCNT2-AS1:13
Source: RNAcentral
AGUACGCUCCCAAGGUAGAAGAGAGCCGCCAUCAAGCCGGCGACGAGAGCCGGGAAAGGCUGCGGCAAACACUUAGGCCUUUCAGCAUCGCUAACCCUCCUACCUCUCAAACCCUUCGGGGUCAGGGACAAGUCCAGGGAGCCGCCCCUUUUCUGCAAUAAUCCCUAAAAUUCCUCUUUCGCCUGAGCCACACUCCCAACCCCCGCCGCCACCACCACGCGCUGCCCCAAACAGAUUACACAACGCAGGCUCCUGGCCCGCAUUCCUGGGGUCCUAUCUCCUCCUCCCUUCCUCUGCUGACCCCUCGCGACUGCCCGAGCCGGAACAUUACUUCCCUGACCGCGGCGCCGAGGCCCAGCGAAGGCCGAGGCCGGCGGCGCCAUGUUCGCGGGGCACCAGGCCCGGCGACCGGGCAAGGGAAACAGGGCGUGAGCGGCGGCGAACAGAAAAGGAUACACAUUGAGACGCUGUCCCAUCUCCUGGAUGAGGUUGGCCGCCUGCUGGCGGCACGAGAGCUCUUUAUCCGCCUCCACUCCGCAGCGGCGGCUCGGCGUGUUCUCCAGCUGUUCCCGAGUAAAGAACCAGCGAGAAGAAGCUCCACGGCCCGACGCCAUGACACUUCCUCCUCCGCCCGCUCCUUCAUUCACCCCCCGCCCCUCCUGGCUCGCGGACUCCCCGCCAAGGCGCGCGACCCCGCCCCACUCCGCUCGCCGUAGACCACGCACCACCCUUUUUCACCACCGCCUCCGCCCUUGCGCAUGCGCGGGGCCCGCUCUACCGACUCGCCCUAGUCUUUUGCUUUCUUUUUCUGCCCUCGGCCUCGCUCUUGCGCACGGGACCACAAUGCUCCGCGCCGCUUGUCAUUGGGAGGCGCCGAAGGUGGAGAGGUCGGCUCGGAAGGAAAAGAUCACUCACUCUUGGGGGCAUCCAGCAGCCAUGUUGUGAGGACACUCAAGCAGCUGUGAAGAGGUGCACCUGGAGAGGAACUGAGGCCUCCCACCAAAACCAAGCACUGACAUGCCACUCAUGGGUAAAAUCCACCUUGAAUGUAAAUCCUUUAGCCCCAGCCAAGCUUUUAGAUAACUACAGCCCUGACUGACACCUUGCCUGUCUCACCUCUUGAGAGAUUUUGGCAAUCACAGGAAUAUAUAAAACAUGAGCAGAAAGAGGCCUUUGGAGAAAUCUGGACCAGCAUUCUCAUUUUACGGAUGAGGGACCACGGCCCAUGGAGGUUUCCAUAGAUGAUUGGAAAAACCCAAGAGUUGGUCCUCUGUUCCAGACCCCACACAGACACAAACCUACAAGCCAAGGGAGCCAGUAUUUGGCCAUUCGUCCAUCCAUCUGCAUGUCCCAGGGAUGCACGAACAGGGAACACUUCAGCCUUUCGGCUGCCUUCAAAGAAGCAAUGAGAGAGAGAGAGAGGGUUACUUUGAUGAGUGAGCAGAUACCAGGUACUGUUUUGGGGAAACUGCUUUUCUCUGAGUCUAUAUUGGUCUGCACAAAUAAACUAAAAUGCUUUUUAAGUUGUUUUAUGAUCUAUAUAGAAGAGAUAUUGACAAACUUCUCCUGCUUAGAAAAUAAAAGGGACACUUGGAAUUAACAAAGGGGGUUGGUAGAUUUACCAUUGAGGUUGAUGAACUUAAUAUAUCAUCUGGUAAAACAAGCGUCAGGAAAUAUCCAUCAUUCAAAUGUUUUGGCUGACAGCAAAAUGCUCAAGGACUAAUCCCACAGCUGAAAUGUAGGGGAAAAUUUCCCCUACAUUUGGCUCCUUCUGGCUCCUACUUGGUCUACACUUUUGGAAGGACUGCUGAGAUUGUAUCCUUGGAGUCAGGGCGAGAGUGCCCCCUCCUUUUCCCCACUUGGAAACCAGAGUUUGUGGAAAGUGAAGAAGUGAUGUGCUGGAGCCAGAGGCUCAGUGCUGGGCUGGGGCUGGCUGGCCUGACCCAAGCCACCUGGUUACUCAGAGCCCAGCACUGGGUGGAAUCCCUGGGGUCUACAGGCAUUCACCCAUCCCCAGAAGCCCAGAUGAGUCUCUGAACAGUUGGCUGUGAGUGAGAUGACCUCAGAAAUGGAAGAGGUCAGUGCCUUAGCCAGACAGGCACUGACAUGAAUGUCAUAGGCAUGCUCCAGGGCCUUCUGAGAAAUGGAAAUACCAUCUGGAUGGAAUGACCUUUAUGCAACAAAAAGUUUAAUUAAAAGAAGUCUCCUCAACAGGCAUUGAAUAUUAGUGCUCGUCAAGAUUCAAAAGAGAUUUCCCUUAGAAUAAUUCCUCACCACAUAUAUUGAGGUUCUGGAGUGAUUCAUCCUACCCUCAUACAUAAAUGUUUGUGCUAACCAGGCUGAUGCAAUGUGACUUGUGUACAUAAGCAUUUUUAAAAUGGAAAAGCAAUUCUGGGACAACAAGGGAUUCUGGAAGUGUCAGGAAAAGGGUAAGUUGAAGAAAGGACUUUUAAUUCAACAGGUCUUGGGUAGCAGAAGAGAUAUAAGCCUUUUAAAGAGAGAGAAGCUAAUUGGUUUCUGAUAAUAGGUGCCUGUUGGAAAGAAAAUAUUGACCUCUUGGGAUGGUUUGGGUUUGGCAAAGGUGCAUGGUCAUGGUAUCUCAGUGGGAUUUGACUCCUCAUUUGGAUACAAGUUUAUUCUAUGUGCCUCUGGUGGUUCUUUUCUUUUUAAAAUUUUUCCUUUUUAUUUUUUUGUUAACUUUUAUGUUAAGGGUACAUGUGCAGGUUGGUUAUAUAGGUAAAUUGCAUGUCACAGGGGCUUGGCAUACAGAUUAUUUUAUCACCCAGGUAAUAACCAUUGUACCCAAUAGGUAGAUUUUUGAUCCUCACCCUCCUCCCACCCUCAUUUCUGUUCAGUUCAAAUUAACAUAUUGUUGAUCUCCUUCUAUAUGUGGGGUUUGUAGAGAAUAGAAAAAGAAGUUAUACUCUCACAAUUAUAAUUAACAUUGACUGAGAACUUAUUAUGUGCCCAAGCUGUUAUAAGAAUUUUAUAAUUAUUAACUAGUUUAAUUUUUUGUGAGAUGCGCACUUUUACUACCCUCAUUUUAUGGAGAAGAAAACUAAGGCAGAUAGAAGCUAACUUACUUAGGCCUUGUGGCUGAUAGAUGGUGGAGCUGGGCAGUUGGCACUACCAUUCAGUCUGCCUUAUACCAAUAACGAAGUUGUUUUUGCAACUGAAAACUGACCUGAGCAUGUAUGAUUGGGUUUACUCACUAAAAAGGGAGGUCUAGGAGAUAAAGGGGACAGUUAGACCUUUGGAGUACCAGGAUCACCUUGAGAUGACAAAGCCAACCUGGCUCAUGAUAAUUCAUUUCAGCACAUUAUUGACGCAAACUAGAGAGCAGAGAGGCAGGCAAACCUUGCUAACCAAACAAAUAUGCUGCCACCCCCAGGACAUCAUAAGUCACCUGGGGACAGGAUGUGCUCCUGAAUCCCUUCAGAGACUGGAUGUCCUCAAAACAGCCCAGUUAGAAGGAUUGAUGGGUCGAGCUAGUCACACAAAUGAAAAUAUCCAUGUGGACCUCAACCGGCUGCUGUUGCUUCCUAAGUCCCUUAGUAAUUCAUAAACCCAAAUCCAAUGAAUGCUAAAAUGACUUGCAGCUGAAGUCUCGAUCACACUGUGCUGAAACAACUUGGAUGCAUAAGUAAAUAAAUCCUCUUUCAAAGCUCAUUAAAGUUUCUAGAAAACAUUCACUGCAUCAGCUAAACCACUGCAGCCAGUAAGCUUCAGGGAGUUCAGUAUAUUGAGGAACAUUAAAUCUUUCAAGUCAUUAGAAGGCAAUUUAACAGGCAAUCUCCUGACUGGUGGGCAGUCGCCAUAGAUACAAACAUGGAAAAUUUUUUGCCUGUAGUUAGACCUCAGUAAAUACUAAAUGAGUAAAUGAUCAGUAGUCACAGUGCCUGGUGAGUCCACAAACAUCUAUUUAAGUCAUUAUUAAAGAUUUUGCAUUUAUAAUGAAAAUAAUAGAAAGCAAUAUUAUUAUAAUUCUAGGAGGGAAAUAAAAAAUUAAAAAAUGCAAUUGAGUAAAGAAUUAUGCAUCAUGAAUCCUGGUACUGAGAUGAGAAGGUUUGGUUAUAGAAAGAGUUGAAAGUGGAGGAGGAAGAAGAAGACUGAUGGAGAUGACUGUGGAACUAUGGACACUUGAAGUUGGAUAUUUCAGAAAUGAAUGGCACUGAAUUUUUGAACAUACAUUUUACCAUGAGAUAUUUUAAGUAUAGAAAGUAUAAACAAUAACACAAUGAGCAUCCCUAUACCCACCACCUAGUUUCAUCAAAUGUUAACAUUUUCAUGGUAUUAUUUUUUAUUAGGUAUUUUAAAGUACAUUUCCAAAAUAUAUGACUUAAAAAUAUCUUAAUUACAGAUUGGUUAAAUAAAUCAAAGCAUAGCCAUAUAUUGGAAUAUUCUGCAGUUAUUUAAAAAUCGUGCAUUAAAAGAAUUUUCACUUAUGUUGGAAAUUUUUAAUUAGCAUACAAAAUCACAUGUGUAACAGAAUUUCAGGUUCAUUAAAAUAUAGAUAUAUGUAUAUCAAGAAAGUAACUAUGUAUGGUAACAGUGGCUACUCAUCUUUGGGAGGCUGGAUUAUGGGUAAUGUUUGUUAUCAUCUUUAUACUUUUCUGUAUUUUCGAUAAUUUCUUCCAAAUUAUUUCAUAAUUUUGAAAAAUGUUUAGUAUUUUUUUUCCAAAGCAGAUUUUUUUUUUUUUUUGAGAUGGAGUCUUGCUCUCUUACCCAGACUAGAGUGCAGUGGCACAGUCUUGGCUCACUGCAACCUGUCUCCUGGGUUGAAGAUACUCUCAUGCCUCAGCCUCCCAAGUAGCUGGGAUUACAGGGGUGUGGCACUACGCCUGGCUAAUUUUUUUGUAUUUUUAGUAGAGAUGGGGUUUUGCUAUGUUGGUCAGGCUGGCCUCGAACUUCUGGCCUCAAGUGAUCCGCCCACCUGGGCCUCCCGAAGUGCUGGGAUUACAGGUGUGAGCUGCUGCACCUGGCCAAAAUAUAUAUAUAUAUUUGUAUGUCAUUAACACGAUUCUUUUGCACAGUGGCUGUAAAGAGGGUAUUUUGUCUUCCAAGUGAAAGAUUAAAAGGAGGGCAAGGGGGAUGGAAAGAAAAGAGAUUUCACUGUUAACUCAGUGCUGGCCUAGGAACCCUUCCACCAGUUCCUCUUUGGAAUGGCCCACUCCUUUGCGGGGGCUAUUUCCACACCUUCUACCUACAUCAAACAAGUCGUGGACACCGCUCUCCCCUCCCAGUGGGGUGACGCUUCACCUCCUCCCUGCCAGCACCCAGCGGUGCCCCCGGCCCAGGCACUGGGCGGCUGGCGUUGGCUGAGCAGCCCCGCUACUCACCGCAUAGACAGGAAAGAGCUCCUGCGCGUUCAGGUCCCACUCGUUGACGUGGGUGCCAAUUUGGACCCCGGGAAAGCCCAGCUCUUUCACACAGCGCUCCAUCUCCUUGACCGCCAGCUCAGGGGCCUGCAUGGGCAACGUCCCCAGACCCACGAACCUCCUGGGGUAGCUCACAACGGUGCUGGCAAGGUCGUUGUUUAAAAGCUGGCACAGGUUUAAAGUGUCCUCAGGUUUGGCCUGGUGGAGACAGGAAAGGGAAAACCGCAUUGUUGAAAACCUACUUCUUUUAGACAUUCACUCUGAACAGUGCCUCCUCAUGGCUAUAAUAUUUGUCAUUUUCAGUGGCUUUACCACAUCAGAAAACAGAGGCACAGAUUGGGAAAGGUGCUGGCCACAGACAACCGAGAAGCCAAUCUUUGUAAAGCAAAGAAAACUGCAGGUAUAUUGCUGAUUCAUUGGAAAAAUUGAGGCCAGAAUCAGAAGGGAAGAACACAAUUACUGGCAUGGUAUCCCAACACUAGAGAUGGAAUGAGCAUGGGCCACUGCCAACUGCAGAAAGAUCUUAAUGCCCCCCUACCUCCCAGGAGGUCGGGCCUGGCCAAGGGCCCCAGGCCACCAUCAAGGCACCUCCUUGUCAUGCCCCAUUGAGGGCCGCCAGGCUGGCUCACUGACUUGUCCUGCCCCUGCCUGUCCUCCUCUCUGUCCUUCUUGUUGGCUGUGACAUUCAGGGCUGUCCUUGGCAAAAUGCUGAGGCAGUUGAAGUUUACUGUUGGUUUUCCUAAUGCUCCCUUCUUCACUGUUUACUUUCCUCUGUCACCCCACUGCCCACUGCCAGGAAUCUGGUCCUCUCCUGCAGCCUCAGUUGUCUAAUCAGAGUGGUAGCCAAUCUGAUAAAUUCAGGCAUUUUGAGGUCUCAGGGCACUUUUAAGUAGUGAAUGCAAUCGCAGGAACAGGCAAAGACUGAGUCACUCACUAAUACUGGAUUUAUGAACACAGAUCACGGAAGUAUGUAUGAACAGGUGAUAUUUCCACUGCUCCUUAAAUCACGAGAGUGAGUAUCUGCUUGGAUGAGCAGGGACUAGCACAUUCCCGGCUACGUACAAAAAUUUUCCUCCACAGGCUGGAAAUCAUGCCUGAAACUUUUAGUGCUUGAGAUUUAUUCACUUGGGAAAGGGCAUCCCACUUCAGGAUUACCCUUCUGAAUUGUGUUUUUCCCUUGGAGAGGUGAUAUAUUAGGUCAUGAUUAUUAUUCCUACCUCAAAAUCAUUCUCGUCUCAGAAGAUAUUAGCUUGUCAGUUCCCCGGCAAGGCAUUGCAGGAAUGAGUCACCAGACAGGUAAGUUCUGGUGGAGAUUAAGGCUGGUCUAGUACCACUGUACAGUGAAACUAUAAUGCAAGUCACAUAGCAACAUGUGACUACUGGCUACCGUACUGGAGCAAAGACAUGGCUAAGAAGACAGGCCUGAGAGGGGACCCUGCUGAUCGCUAAAGGGGAGGACAGUUGUUGGGGGCAGUUAGUGGUACUGGUGUCCAAACUUGAGGCAUCUGUUCACUUUUUGGGAGCUCAACACGAACCUUCAACACCAAGGAGAUGGCUUGAGGUUUCACACUCACCCAGUAGCUAAACAUGACAGGAACUGUGGAAAGGGCUUGCACUGUUACUCCUAGACAUGGACACAAAGAAGGGCAAAGCUGGUGAGAAGAAUAGGCUGGGCACUCCUUCCUUUCCCAAGGCCAAGCGGCAGCAAGCCUCCACCCUAAACUCCUCCUGCUCUCCCUCCCUGCGUCCCUCUCAGUCCUCUCCCUGGACCCCCCUCAGCCCCCAGCCCCAGAUUCUAGGGAAGUAAGUAAAGAUUGGACACAAAUGAGAUCAUUCAAGGAAAACUAACUGACCCCAUUUCCAAAGAGUUAUUUCUGCCCUCCUUCCUGUGAAAUUUUAUUUAAGCAAGACUUUUUCAGGCUUUCUGUCUUAGGUUAUGCACAACAGAGCAUGUCUCUCAGCCACCUUCCCUGCCCCUUUAAUUCAGCUCCUAAGUGAUCCUAGAAGGAGUCCCAUGAUCUGAAAUACCCAGAAUGGGACCCUGAGUUUGACUCCAGCAUCCAGGAUGCCAAGAAUCUUUUGUCUUCAAGAGGGUCUACUUCCUAGGGUUGUUGUAGGGAUUAAAUGAGUUAAUACAUGUUAGGUUCUUAGAAUAGUGCCUGGCACAAAGUAAAUACUCAAUGAGGGUUGGUCAUGACUGUUCUCUCAGGGACAGCCAAGGAAUGCAACACACAACAAAAACCAAAGUUGACACACACACUUCGUUUACCGUGCAGCCGUAAGUAGUGGUUUCUGACACCAGUCAUUCAAGUCUCAUGCUCACUAGUUUUCUCCUUGAAAAGGCAGGUCCUUGCUGCAGCUUCACAUUUACUACAAAACCUUGCUCUUUGCUGUAGGUCAGGGAAGCAUGUUCUUUCUCCAGCUCUCCUCCCACUCCAAUAUACUUUUAGAACAGAGGGAUAUAUGCUAUAUUCUGUGGAGUACUCUACAGAGGUGCUGCAGGUUUUCUGCAAAGUUCAAUUUAAAUGCCACUUAAAUAUAUUUUUAAUUAAAAAAUUUUUUUAGAGACAGGGUCUUGCUCCACCACUAGGCUGGAGUGUAGUGGUGCAAUCACAGCUCACUGCAGCCUCAAACUCCUGGGCUCAGGUGAUCCUCCCACCUCAGCCUCCUGAGUAGCUGGGAUCACAGGUGCAUGCCACCACACCUAGAUAAUUUUUUUUUUUUUUUUUUUUUUUUGUGGAGACAGGGUCUCACUGUGUUUCCCAGACUGAUCCUGAACUCCUGGGCUCAAGGGAUCCUCCUGACGUGGCCUCCUAACAUGCUGGGAUUAUAGGCAUGAACUACCACACCUGGCUCUAUUUUUAAUUGUUAAAAAAUAUAUAAAGCAAAACCUGGACAAAGGUAUCUACAACAAAUUCCAACAUGCUGGAGACCACCUACUCACUUUAGGCUGACCGUUUGAUUCCUUUUUUGCAGACCUUGGAAUAAAAUGUCUCCUGCCAUCUCUUUGUAUAUUUGAACUUCUUACAAUUUGUCUUUGAUUAGGAAGGUGGUAGUGCUAAACUGCUCUUUUAUUUGUGUGUUUGAAUUGUUUCUUUUCUGGUUGAAAUCUUCCACCAAUGUAAACACUUAGUUCUGACAAUGUCAGUGGUGGUCAGUUCCCCAUCACAGCCCAUGGACACAGCCCACAUGUGUCUGGAAGGCUCAGGCAUUUUCUUGGAGCAUGUUCUCCUCAGGUGGCACAGUCAACCAGGCAGUCACAGGUGAAGCAUAAUGUGGCCAUCAUGUCAUACUUUAGAUAGACUUGGAAAUUUCAUUUUGUUUUGUUUUGAGACAGAGUCUCACUUUGUUGCCCAGGCUGGAGUGCGGUGGUGCAAUGUCGGCUCACUGCAAACUCCGCCUCCUGGGUUCAAGCGAUUCUUGUGCCUUUGUCUCCUGAGCAUCUGGGAUUACAGGCACGCGCCAGCAUGCCUGGCUAAUUUUUGUAUGUUUAGUAGAAAUAGGGUUUUGCCAUGUUGGCCAGGCUGGUCUCAAACUCCUGACCUCAGGUGAUCCACCUGCCUUGGCCUCCCAAACUGUUACUGUGCCUUUUCUGAAAUUCUUUUAAAUUGUGAGGACUUGUUUGAUUUUUAGAUAUAAGGUAAAAAGUGCAAGAUGUUCUUAUAGCUUUUUAGCAAUUCAGCUUUGAAACGAACACUUCCUAAUUCUCUUCUUUCAAAUUUCUGGAUUGAUUUUAUUGUAGUGUAUUCUGAGAUUACACAAUUAACUAUUUUUAACUGCUUCCAUUUCCAACCCUGAUGUGUCAGUGGGAAUGUUCUGUGUAUGAUGCACCGAGACAAACUACAGAAAGAAAUUGGAUCUUAAGUGUUAUUAAGCAGGCAAUUGUCAUUCUUAGUUUUGUGAUUUCCAGUUUUUACUAUUUUAAUUGAUUUUAUAAUAAGUAAAUACUAUACAUUUGAACUAAUUUUUAAAAAUAAUAAAAUGCCAUUUUUAUCUUUUUCAUGAUAUAGCAUUCUAUUUUAAAACAGGGUAUAACUCAUAUGAAACAUUUUGAAUCCACACUCUAAAAGCAUUGUAGUGGAAGGCCCUGUCCCUCCCACAGUGAAGCUGGAACAGCCUGUCCUGGCAGAGAAAAGGGGGUCAGAAGUUACCAUCACAUAAAGUUGUCAGCAAACUUUAAGGGCAGACAUUGCUUUUACAUCAGAUGCUAACAUUGGUAGCACUUCUCAUCGUACCUUUUUGGUCCAUUUCUCUAAUACGAACUUCUGGAUCCCAGCAAUUCUCUCGCACCACUCUGAAGACUUUCCCAUCUUUCAACAACUUUGCUUCUCCCUGGGGCAGAAAACCCACAUUACUAAAAUGCAACCUAAGACCACUUGGACUAAUCUUUCCUCAUGUGCUUUAGAACGUAUUUCUUCCCUAAUAUUUGAAAAGAUUUUUACUUAAUCCUUGUGGAAGUAGAAAUCAGUAAUUUAACAAAAAUCAGCUUUCUUUCCUCAUGCUUUUCUUUGGCCUAGAGUUGAAGGGGUGUGCUCUGUGGGCGUCAAUGGCUGGACACAGAGAUAGCAAGGUUGAGGUUAUGUUUCUCUGGGCUGCCUGACUGAGAAUGGCUGAUCACCUUGCUGAUCUGAACCCCUGGCUACUAGAUACAAGAGGAUGGCCCAGCGUCUGGAAAAUGGUAGUUCUAUAACAUUUAGAAUUGAAAAGAACCUUUGAGAUAGACCACCUAGUCCAACCCUCUCAUUUUAUGGAGAAGCAAUAUAUGGAUAAUGGCAGUGUAUGAUUUGUCAAACAGAGCAGGGCCCACUAGUGUCAAUACCUGUGGGAGGAGGUGGGCAAAGAAGUCAGUCUGGUAGCAAGCACAAAAUUUGGUACUGAGCUACUUCUUCCACCAGGCAUCAUGCUUGCCUGGGUACACAGCAAUAAUUUUUAUACAUUUUAAAUGACAAAUAAAAAUUGCAUAUAUUUAUGCUGUACAACAUUAUCUUUUGAUAUAUGUGUGCAUUGUGGAAUGGCUAAAUCAAGCUAAUUAAAAUGUCCAUUACUUCACAUACUUAUUUUUUUUGAGGUGAUGACACUUAAAAUCUAUUCUUUUAGCAAUUUUCAAGUAUACAAUACAUUUUUAUUAACUAUAGUCACCAUAUUGUGCAAUAGAUAUGAACUUAUUCCUCCUGUCUAACUGAAAUUUCAUAUCCUCUGACCUUCUCAAUCUCUCCCCACCCCUUCAGCCUGUGGUAACCACCAUUUUUCUUGAUGCUUCUGUGAGUUAGACUUUUUUAGAUUCUACAUAUAAGUACAGUAUUUGUCUUUUUAUGUCUGGCUUAUUUCACUUAACAUAAUAUCCUUCAGUGUUAUUCAUGUUGUUGUAAAUGAUAGAAUUUCCUUUUUAUAAAGGCUGAAUAGUAUUCCAUUAUGUAUAUAUGCCACAUUUUCUUUAUCCAUUCAUCCACUGAUGGACACUUAGAUUGAUUCCAUAUCUUGGCUAUUUUGAAUGAUGCUACAUUGAACAUGGGAAUGCAGAUAUUUCUUCAACAUACUGGUUUCAUUUCCUCUGCAUAUAUAGCCAGAAGUAGAAUUGCUGGAUCAUAUAGUAGUUCUAUUUUUACUUUUUCUCAGGAAAACAUAUGAUCAUAUCAAUAGAUACAGACAAAUUUCUACAUCCUUUUAUGACUUUAAAAAACCUCAAUAAAUUAGGUAUAGAAGGAAUAAAGCUGUGGGAUUGCCAUACAUGAACUUUAUUGUUGAUCAACACAAUAAAGUCUAUGUAUGGCAAUCCCACAGCUAACAUCAUACUUGAUGGUGAAAAUGAUGAAAAGUUGAAAACUUUUUCUCUAAGAUCAGGAACAUGACAAGGGGGCUCAUUUUGCCACUUCUCAACAUCAUAAAGGAAGUUCUAGCCAGAGCAAUGAAGCAAGAAAAAGAAACAAAAGUCACCUAAAUCAGAAUGAAAGAAGUUAAAUUGUUUUUGUUUGCAGACAACAUGGUUUUAUACAUAGAAAACCCUAAAUAUUCCACCAAAAAACUGUUAAACUAAUAAAUUGGGUAACGUUGCAGAAUACAAAAUUGAUAUAUAAAAGCCCAUAGCAUUUCUGUAUGUUAACAAUCUGCAAAAGAUAUCAGGCAAUCCCAUUAUUUAUUUAUUUAUUUCUCGAGAUAGAGUCUUGUUCUGUUGCCCAGACUGGAGUGGAGUGCAGUGGUAUGAUCUCGGCUCACUGCAGCCUCUGCCUCCCAGGUUCAAGCAAUUCUCCUGCCUUUGCCUCCCAAGUAGCUGGGAUUACAGACAUGCGCCACCACGCCCGGCUAAUUUUUGUGUUUUUAGUAGAGACGGGGUUUCACCAUGUUGGCCAGGCUGGUCUUGAACUUCUGACCUCAUGAUCCACCGGCCUCAGCCUCCCAAAGUGCUGGGAUUACAGGCAUAAGCCACUGCUCCCAGCAUUAGGCAAUCCCAUUUAAAAUAGUAUUUAAAAAUACUUAGGAAUGAAUCUAACCAAAAAGGUGAAAGAUCUGAAAACUAUAAUACAUUGAUGAAAAAAUUAAAGAAGACACAGACGAAUGGAAAAACAUCCCAUGUUCGUGGAUUGAAAAAUUGAUA